This is a long non-coding RNA of Xenia sp. Carnegie-2017, 365 nucleotides long. RefSeq lists it as uncharacterized. The transcript has 2 exons. The record is from RefSeq and is a predicted model, not a curated record. NCBI's taxonomy places the organism in Eukaryota, Metazoa, Cnidaria, Anthozoa, Malacalcyonacea, Xeniidae.
UUGCACAAGCUUUGUUGAAAACUGGUCAAUAAAGUCGAAUGUUGUCAUUUCAAAAGACAUUUGAAAAUGUCGUUGUUACAUAACAGGCGAGUCAACAGUCUCUGGGAAGUAUGGACCAAAACAUGGAUGUUUUGUUUUAAAAAAUUUCUCUUUUGUCUACGAAAGUUCCUCUCGCUAAAUAAACUAUAAUAUCCAAGGAUACGCGUCAAGUUUAUCUGAAGUGAUGUUAUUUGCUUAACCGUGCGACAUGGGACUCGGAGGGAUAAAAGGAUGUCCAAAAAGCUCCUGUGUUAAGCAUUGGUUAAGGCUCUCCGGAUAAGGACAUCUAUACAACAUGUAUAUGACAUUAAAAAACAGUUUUUAAA